RNAcentral lists this long non-coding RNA (591 nucleotides) under Danio rerio (zebrafish). RNAcentral's name for it is "si:ch211-198e13.3 (ENSDARG00000094622.3)". The record is from RNAcentral. Lineage: Eukaryota; Metazoa; Chordata; Actinopteri; Cypriniformes; Danionidae.
AUUCCUUCAUUCGCAACAUCAGGGUAGGCGACAUCUAAUGUAUAUAGCUAUGUGCGCUAACUAGUAUUCCCGUCGUAUCAUGCUCAACUCUUAAUACUCUAUUUCGCACUUUGAAAAUCUUUGCGUGUUUUCAGAGAGAUAUUUAAGCACAUAUGAAGUAACAGUGGCGUCUCUACCAUUGAGUUACACAAUGCAGCUUUUAGCUCGCUCGUAAACAUCACUGCUGUCCUCAGAUCAUUGUCUGAGCAGAAGUUUCAUCAUUAACCCUGACUGUCAGAUGCUCUUCAUCUCAGGAGCUGUAUUUUUAGAUGCUUUAUAACAGAUAGGCUAUAAGCGAGAAGAGGCUGAAUCCAAAGCCCGAGAAGAAGCAGAGAAACAGAGGAUCGAACCAGAGAAACACUUCCAGAAGGAGGAGCUGGAACGCUUGGAAAGAAAGAAGCGUCUGGAAGAAAUCGUGAAGAGGACUCGUAAGAGUGACGCAGGAGCACAGAAAGAUGUUAAAACUCCAACUCAAAUGAAUGGCAGAGUCACUGACAGCGAAAAAUCAGUCAGAAGCUCUUCAUAGUAGUGCGACAAACCAAUCACCAAUGA